RNAcentral lists this long non-coding RNA (1693 nucleotides) under Hordeum vulgare. Its description in RNAcentral is "long non-coding RNA (HVUL_LNC005576)". Lineage: Eukaryota; Viridiplantae; Streptophyta; Magnoliopsida; Poales; Poaceae. The record is from RNAcentral.
AAUCCGGCUUCGUCGGCUUCUCGGAGCAUAUUAGAGAGGCUGUCUUUCGCUUCGCAUCAGCCGAAGUUGGUCAGGCACUCAGAUGUCUGUCCUGACCAAGGUUCUACUGCCACCUCAGAGUAUCAGAAAGGGCCAACUGAAACCAGUUCAACUGCAAUUAAGCCAUGCAAUGAUAUCGAAGGUACAUUUUUUACUUUGUUAGUAAGAUAAGAAGCAGCAAUUGUUACAUAGUGCAAGUAAGAUUUACGGUUCAAUUUUCGGCCUCCCAUUUUUCUGUAAACUGAUAUGAACUAUCGCACACAGCUAUUCCUACAGUUCAGGCGGUCUCUGUGCGAGAUGUGGGCACAGAAAUGACUCCAAUACCAAGUCAAGAUCCAUCAAGAACAGGAACACCACUUGGGUCUGUGACACCGACUCGGAGCCCUAAUUGUUCGAUACCAUCAACUCCUGUGGGCGGACUAUCGACAGCAUCGAUAGGAGAAGACAAUGCAGAUGAUGGUCCUUAUUUCAACAGAAAAGGCGGCACGAAUGAGAUGUCAGAGGAUGAAAUCAGGCUCAAGGCAAGGAAAGAAAUUGCUGCCCUAGGUGUACAACUAGGAAAGAUGAACAUCGCUUCAUGGGCUAGCAAAGAGGAGCUAGAAUUGGUCUCUGCGACGCCAAGCAUUGCUGAUUUGGAGCGAAUGAAGCAGGAAUAUGCUACUCGUGCGGCAGCAUUCGAGGACGCUGAAAAUUCUAAGCAUACAGCACGGUAUGUUCCAUCAGACUAUCUGAUACCCCUAGUCGUUUGUUCUACCAGUGAGCUACAAAAGGAGAUAGAAACAGAAUUAAAUUUUGUAAAUAUUGGUUUUCUUCAUCUUAUUUGACAUGGUAUUGUUUUGCUUAGAUUCAAGAAGGAAGAGCUGAAGAUCGAAGCAUGGGAGAGCCGCCAAAGAACAAAAGUUGAAUCUGAAAUGAAGAGACUAGAGGUGCAUUUCCACUGCAUUUCACUAUCAUCUGCAUACCAGCUGCUUUUGUUUGCACCAACACAAUACUUUGAAUACAUAUCAUACUCUUUAGGAGUAGCAUGUAGCUUAGUGAUGACAAAUCGUUCUAUGGCAGGAACGCGCGGAGAAAAUGAGAAGCGAGGCCAUGGCAAGGAUGGCGGAAAGGCUCGAGCUGGCACGCCGCGUGGCGGAGGAGAAGCGGGCAUCAGCCAACGCCAAGAUGAACAAGCAAGCAGCAAGGGCAGUUCAGAAGGCCGAUCUGAUCCGCCAGACAGGACGGAUUCCAGGGUCACGUAUCCUAUGCUGUGGCUGUUUCUGUGAACCUUAGCACUUGUUGAAGAACUAGCCUGUUAAAAUAUGGUCGUGAGAGGAAUCUAACUUCCUCGUUCUGCAGUCAGCAUUCCUUGGUUUUUUAGUAUGCGAAAGGGAAUGUCUGGUCUAGGUGAUUGAGAUGUACACAUUCUUCAUUGUCAUAUAAAUAAUUUGCUUAGUGUGAGGUGUGCCAAGUUCUUGUUCUUUUUCUGAAGAAAAAGGUUCCUAUAAGCUGUUCUUCAGUGGGCUAACAAUAUGACUGAUGGAAUCACUCACCUUUCUGAUGAACCAAGUUAUGGGUCAAGCCAUCUUUCUGGGAUCUUUUGCAUAAAGUGGCGCUGCUGCUGUGAGCCGUUGGUUGUUCAUCUGUCUCGGUUCUGCGCUGCUGCUCACGGGUC